This 269-nucleotide ribosomal RNA is filed under the name uncultured prokaryote. RNAcentral's name for it is "partial 16S ribosomal RNA". It matches the Rfam family "Bacterial small subunit ribosomal RNA", at positions 524 to 792 of the family's 1533-position model. The record is from RNAcentral.
UACGUAGGGGGCAAGCGUUGUCCGGAAUUAUUGGGCGUAAAGCGCGCGCAGGCGGUCCUUUAAGCCUGAUGUGAAAGCCCACGGCUUAACCGUGGAGGGUCAUUGGAAACUGGAGGACUUGAGUACAGAAGAGGAGAGUGGAAUUCCACGUGUAGCGGUGAAAUGCGUAGAGAUGUGGAGGAACACCAGUGGCGAAGGCGACUCUCUGGUCUGUAACUGACGCUGAGGUGCGAAAGCGUGGGUAGCGAACAGGAUUAGAUACCCUGGUA